This is a non-coding RNA of Phrynosoma platyrhinos (Desert horned lizard), 72 nucleotides long. NCBI's taxonomy places the organism in Eukaryota, Metazoa, Chordata, Lepidosauria, Squamata, Phrynosomatidae. The record is from the annotation of a GenBank genome assembly.
GCCAGCAUGGUGUAGUGGUUUGAAUGCUGGACUACAACUCUGAAGAUCAGGGUUCAAUUCCCUGCUCAGCCA